RNAcentral lists this ribosomal RNA (1341 nucleotides) under uncultured bacterium. RNAcentral's name for it is "16S ribosomal RNA". It matches the Rfam family "Bacterial small subunit ribosomal RNA", at positions 28 to 1381 of the family's 1533-position model. The record is from RNAcentral.
GACGAACGCUGGCGGCGUGCUUAACACAUGCAAGUCGAACGGUAAGGCUCCAGCUUGCUGGGGUACACGAGUGGCGAACGGGUGAGUAACACGUGGGUGACCUGCCCUGCACUUCGGGAUAAGCCUGGGAAACUGGGUCUAAUACCGGAUAGGACCGCACCGUGAGGGUGUGGUGGAAAGUUUUUUCGGUGUGGGAUGGGCCCGCGGCCUAUCAGCUUGUUGGUGGGGUAAUGGCCUACCAAGGCGGCGACGGGUAGCCGGCCUGAGAGGGUGGACGGCCACAUUGGGACUGAGACACGGCCCAGACUCCUACGGGAGGCAGCAGUGGGGAAUAUUGCACAAUGGGCGGAAGCCUGAUGCAGCGACGCCGCGUGGGGGAUGACGGCCUUCGGGUUGUAAACUCCUUUCACCAUCGACGAAGGGUUUCUGACGGUAGAUGGAGAAGAAGCACCGGCUAACUACGUGCCAGCAGCCGCGGUAAUACGUAGGGUGCGAGCGUUGUCCGGAAUUACUGGGCGUAAAGAGCUCGUAGGUGGUUUGUCGCGUCGUCUGUGAAAUUCCGGGGCUUAACUCCGGGCGUGCAGGCGAUACGGGCAUAACUUGAGUACUGUAGGGGAGACUGGAAUUCCUGGUGUAGCGGUGAAAUGCGCAGAUAUCAGGAGGAACACCGGUGGCGAAGGCGGGUCUCUGGGCAGUAACUGACGCUGAGGAGCGAAAGCAUGGGGAGCGAACAGGAUUAGAUACCCUGGUAGUCCAUGCCGUAAACGGUGGGCGCUAGGUGUGGGUUUCCUUCCACGGGAUCCGUGCCGUAGCUAACGCAUUAAGCGCCCCGCCUGGGGAGUACGGCCGCAAGGCUAAAACUCAAAGGAAUUGACGAGGGCCCGCACAAGCGGCGGAGCAUGUGGAUUAAUUCGAUGCAACGCGAAGAACCUUACCUGGGCUUGACAUAUACAGGAUCGCGCCAGAGAUGGUGUUUCCCUUGUGGCUUGUAUACAGGUGGUGCAUGGUUGUCGUCAGCUCGUGUCGUGAGAUGUUGGGUUAAGUCCCGCAACGAGCGCAACCCUUGUCUUAUGUUGCCAGCACGUUGUGGUGGGGACUCGUAAGAAACUGCCGGGGUUAACUCGGAGGAAGGUGGGGAUGACGUCAAAUCAUCAUGCCCCUUAUGUCCAGGGCUUCACACAUGCUACAAUGGUCGGUACAGUGGGUUGCCAGUCCGUGAGGGCGAGCUAAUCCCGCAAAGCCGGUCUCAGUUCGGAUCGGGGUCUGCAACUCGACCCCGUGAAGUCGGAGUCGCUAGUAAUCGCAGAUCAGCAACGCUGCGGUGAAUACGUUCCCGGGCCU